AUAUAACUCGUAUACUUGAUCACACCUCGUUACUAUUGAUUGCAUGUUCUAUUUUCUCUAAAGAAAUUUGUUCAUGGAGAUUUCCUACACUCAAGCUAGGACUCAACUGUUAGCUGAUGAGAAACAAUCUGGCGGAGAUAACCCUGCAUCUAGAGUCCUGAUAUGAACCUAACUUAGAGGGCUAUGUUUAUUAGAUAAUCAAAAUACCUAGUCU
Molecule: long non-coding RNA, 214 nt
Filed under: Hordeum vulgare
Lineage: Eukaryota; Viridiplantae; Streptophyta; Magnoliopsida; Poales; Poaceae
Description: long non-coding RNA (HVUL_LNC001687)
Source: RNAcentral